Molecule: ribosomal RNA, 598 nt
Filed under: uncultured bacterium
Lineage: Bacteria
Description: bacterial SSU rRNA
Rfam family: Bacterial small subunit ribosomal RNA
Source: RNAcentral
AUGGACCCGCGUCUGAUUAGCUAGUUGGUAAGGUAACGGCUUACCAAGGCGACGAUCAGUAGCCGACCUGAGAGGGUGAUCGGCCACAUUGGAACUGAGACACGGUCCAAACUCCUACGGGAGGCAGCAGUGGGGAAUAUUGCACAAUGGGCGAAAGCCUGAUGCAGCAACGCCGCGUGAGUGAUGAAGGCCUUCGGGUCGUAAAACUCUGUCCUCAAGGAAGAUAAUGACGGUACUUGAGGAGGAAGCCCCGGCUAACUACGUGCCAGCAGCCGCGGUAAUACGUAGGGGGCUAGCGUUAUCCGGAUUUACUGGGCGUAAAGGGUGCGUAGGCGGUCUUUCAAGUCAGGAGUGAAAGGCUACGGCUCAACCGUAGUAAGCUCUUGAAACUGGGAGACUUGAGUGCAGGAGAGGAGAGUGGAAUUCCUAGUGUAGCGGUGAAAUGCGUAGAUAUUAGGAGGAACACCAGUUGCGAAGGCGGCUCUCUGGACUGUAACUGACGCUGAGGCACGAAAGCGUGGGGAGCAAACAGGAUUAGAUACCCUGGUAGUCCACGCUGUAAACGAUGAGUACUAGGUGUCGGGGGUUACCCCCUUCG